AUGUCAUCGCCUUGUGUGCUCAAUGUAGAGCACCGGGAGAUUGACUCAGAGGAUUCCCGCAACUGUGAGGCUCCUUUUCACAUCAAUUACUCAGGACCAAAGGUACAACUAAAGGGAGGUAGAAGACAUGGAGAGCGUACUCAAAAUGAUGCGGACCAUGGGGGCGCUGUAAGAGAUUUACCAGCAGAGCCAAGGAUAUCAAAGCAAGCUAUUCAUAAGAGCUCAAAAAAGGAUAAGGAAGCUACCGAAGCAGCAGAGAAGCUUCACCAGAACAUGAAAAAACGGCCCUGUUUGAGAGCAGGAGGAGCUGUUGAUGCAGUAAACAAGGAGAAUAUUCACAAGCGCAAGAAGGAUAGUAGUAAGAUGGAUCUUGAACAGUGCACGGAGACUAAUCAAAAGCGCAGGAAGGAUACCAGUAAGAUGGUUCUUGAACAAAGCACAGAGAAUAUUCACAAGCACAAGAAGGAUAAUAGUAAGAUGGAUCUUGAACAGUGCACGAAAUCCCCUGUUCUUCCUCAAGGAGAUGGAUGGCAUCUUCGACCUCCAAAGAAGGAGAUUAUUCAAAAGGGCAGGCAGGAUACCAGUAAGAAGGUUCUAGAACAAAGCACAGAGACUAUUCACAAUCGCAAGAAGGAUAGUAGUAAGAUGGAUCUUGAACAGUGCACGAAAUCCCCUCUUCAUCCGCAAGGAGAGCGAUGGCAUCUUCGACCUCCAAAGAAGGAGACUAUUCAAAAGGCCAGGAAGGAUACCAGUAAGAAGGUUCUAGAACAAAGCACAAUGCAGAUCUUCGUCAAGUUCAUGAAUGGCGAGACCAUCAUUCUCAAAGAGGUCGCAAGAUCAGAUACGAUCUACAACUUGAAGUCCAAGAUUGAAGACAAGGAAGGCAUCCCUGCAGGCCACCAGAGACUCAUAUUUGAGAAUGAGCAGCUGGUGGGCGGCCGCACCCUCAAGGACUACAACAUCAAGGAGAGGUCCACCCUUGACCUUGUCUUCCAAGGGAUGCAUAUCUUUGUCGAGACGCCUGGUGUGAUGACCAAGACGCUCGAGGUUGAGAGUGCAGAUACGAUAUACAGCGUGAAGGCGAAGCUGUUCGAUGAGACCGGAUAUGUCCCAGGAAUGCAGCGCAUCAUGUUUGUGGGGAGGGAGCUGGAGGAAGCCCGCACUUUGGCCGACUACGACGUCCAGAACAAUUCCACCGUUCGUCUUGCGCUGCGCCCCUGGAGGCUGAAGGACAGGAGGCACAUCUGGGUCAGGACGGCGACGGGCAGGACCAUCAUCAGAUAUUGCGCCAUGUCCUUGGAGUCCGUCGGCGAUGUCAAGGACAAGAUCUUUGUCGAGCUGGGCAUCCCCACGGAGCAGCAGUGCCUUUCCUGGGGUGAAGGCGGAGCAGCGCUGGAGAACUGGUGCACCAUGGAGGAGACGGAGCGCUACCUCGUUCUGCGGCUCUGCCUUCCUGUGUUGUCUAUUUUUUGUGAUGGUAGCGAGAGUCCAGACACGCCACUCGCCAGAGGUAGAACUAAUGUGACUGACACUUAG
RNAcentral lists this ribosomal RNA (1536 nucleotides) under Triticum aestivum (bread wheat). RNAcentral's name for it is "partial small subunit ribosomal RNA". Lineage: Eukaryota; Viridiplantae; Streptophyta; Magnoliopsida; Poales; Poaceae. The record is from RNAcentral.